UCCGAGUUGACCCCGGCAGUCUCCUACGAGUCCCCGGCAUGAUCCGCUGGCAACAUAGGAUAAGGGUUGCGCUCGUUGCGGGACUUAACCCAACAUCUCACGACACGAGCUAACGACAACCAUGCACCACCUGUAUACCGACCUUGCGGGGCGAACAUUUCUGAACGUUUCCGGUAUAUGUCAAGCCUUGGUAAGGUUCUUCGCGUUGCAUCGAAUUAAUCCGCAUGCUCCGCCGCUUGUGCGGGCCCCCGUCAAUUCCUUUGAGUUUUAGCCUUGCGGCCGUACUCCCCAGGCGGGGCGCUUAAUGCGUUAGCUACGACACGGAAACCGUGGAAUGGUCCCCACAUCUAGCGCCCAACGUUUACGGCGUGGACUAC
Molecule: unclassified non-coding RNA, 377 nt
Filed under: uncultured Microbacteriaceae bacterium
Lineage: Bacteria; Bacillati; Actinomycetota; Actinomycetes; Micrococcales; Microbacteriaceae
Description: contains 16S-23S intergenic spacer region
Source: RNAcentral